Molecule: long non-coding RNA, 643 nt
Filed under: Numida meleagris (helmeted guineafowl)
Lineage: Eukaryota; Metazoa; Chordata; Aves; Galliformes; Numididae
Description: lncRNA (ENSNMEG00000005952.1)
Source: RNAcentral
GAAAGGGAUAUGAAUGUAUUUGCACAUACUACAAGCAAACACUCACUGGAGGUACUUGACACUUCAGACUUUUCCCUGUUUAUGGGUACGGACAUUAUAGUGACAGCUCAGAUGACAGUACACAAGGUAACUUUGUAAAUAUAGACUCUUGAAAGCAAAUUGCUACUUACUGGAAGUAACACUGCUGAAAGAGGAAGAGGGUGAAAGACAGGUCAUUUCUUGAAAAAUGGUACAGGAAAUGUUUGGUCUCAGCAGAUAAUUUAAUUGCAUGGUCCAGUCUGUACCGUUGUUUCAGGCCAAAUGGAAAAUAAGGUAAAGACAUUUUUUCCCUCCUAUUCUUUGUUUUAUUAUUAUUAUUAUAAUAAAUUGCAUAUAUUUAUUCUGCAGAGAUAUAUUUGAGCAGAACUCUUUGACCCUCACUAGAAAACUGGAAACAGCCUUCCUUCAUGCAUAUCCAAGGGCUCCAGAAACAGAAAAGAUUGUGACCAUGGCUUGCAAGGAGGACUUCAGUUCAACUGAGUGCAACAGAAGUACAAAGGAGGAGUAUGGCAAAACCAAAGGACGAAGGAUCUAUCCACCGAAAGUGAAAGACUGCACGAGUGUCAGAGCUUCCUUUCCUUUGUACUGCCGUGCUGACACAUAG